AGUGAACGCUGGCGGUAGGCCUAACACAUGCAAGUCGAACGGCAGCACAGUAAGAGCUUGCUCUUACGGGUGGCGAGUGGCGGACGGGUUAGGAAUACAUCGGAAUCUACUUUUUCGUGGGGGAUAACGUAGGGAUACUUACGCUAAUACAUCAUACGACCUACGGGUGAAAGCAGGGGAUCUUCCGACCUUGCGCGAUUGAAUGAGCCGAUGUCGUAUUAGCUAGUUGGCGGGGUAAAGGCCCACCAAGGCGACGAUCCGUAGCUGGUCUGAGAGGAGGAUCAGCGACACUGGAACUGAGAGACGGUCCAGACACCUACGGAAGGCAGAAGUGGGGAAUAUUGGAAAAUGGGGGCAAUCCUGAUCAAGCCAUACCGCGUGGGUGAAGAAGGGCUUCGGGUGGUAAAGCCGUUUUGUUGGGAAAGAAAAGCAGCAGGUUAAUACCCCGCUGUUGUGACGGUACCCAAAGAAGAAGCACCGGCUAACUUCGUG
RNAcentral lists this ribosomal RNA (492 nucleotides) under uncultured bacterium. Its description in RNAcentral is "partial 16S ribosomal RNA". It matches the Rfam family "Bacterial small subunit ribosomal RNA", at positions 29 to 507 of the family's 1533-position model. The record is from RNAcentral.